ACCCUGCUCCAGGCAGCGUGGUCUGUAUGGCUCCGCCCUGGGCAGGAGGAGAAAGAAGAGGGCCAGGCACCACGUGCCUGCACUCUCCCUGGAUGCUGGAGGCUGCUCCGCCGUGGGCAGGAGGAGAAGGAAGAGAACUGGGUGCCGCCUGCCUGCACUCUCUCCGGAUGCUGGAGGCUGGAGGCAGUGACGCAGCAACAGCGCGAGGCGACUUUGGAGCGGCCUCAUAUAGCGACCUCGCCUUCCGCUGCGCGUCCUCCCAGAGCCCAAGAAGCCCGGAACCUGUGGCAUCCAUCUCUGAAAGGAGAAGACGGCAACCCAGCCGAGGCACUACUGGGUUGGGGUCUCCACGACCGAGCUGGUCUCAUCAAGUGGCGUCCAACAAGGGGCUCAAACCCGGGUUGAGGGGUUGCUGGAGCGACGGAGAACGUGGAACUACACUGGAGGACACCAGAGUACUCUUAAGCAAUCCCUUGGCCAAAACCAGCAACUGAUUUGGAUACCAUCAAGACACCUGAAAUCUUGUCAUGAGCCAGAUACUGAGGAAGAGAUUUUGGGAAGAACCCAAGGACCCCCCAGUUGCAGCCAUGUCAAGACUGACAAUAAGGAAGACAUCAGUCCCAGCAAGCAACAUUCAUCGGGCACAGCCACCCAUGUGGGGCCAGAUCAAGAAGUUGACACAGAUGGCGGAAGAAAAUCUGAAGAAAGCGGAUGACCAGCUACAAUGAGUAAUCUAAUGUCUGCAGAUGUGGAUCCCGAAUCCUGCGAGAAGUAGCCCACCAUGACGAAGCUGCCUUUGCUUUUAUCGCUUUGCAAAAACAGAAAAGGGGACAUGCUGGGAACAGGCCCUAAGCCUGUCAUAAACAGGCCUUAAACUGACCAUGAACAGGAUUUCUGCACGAAUGUGACGUGCUCCUGAUGGCUAUGACGCCCACUGCUAGAAGUUGUUAGUUUACUGGAGCAGGGUAGGGAACACCUGGCCCACCCGGAGCGGAAAACUGCUCAAACCACAAACAACAGCAUGAGUGGCCUGAGCCUUAACAACAUGUUUUUGCUGCAGAUAAUCGGCCAGAGACUGUUUCUCUACUCCUCUCUAAGUAUGCUUUGUUUUUCGUAAGGAAUGCUUUUAGCUAAUCUGUAACCUAUAGAAACAAUGCUUAUCACUGGCUUGCUGUCAAUAAACAUGUGGGUCAAACUCUGUUUGUGGCUCUCAGCUCUCAAGGCUGUUUUCCCCCUGAUUCCCACUUUGCACUUUAUUUCUGUGUGUUUGUCUUCAUUCCUCUAGCACCACUGGGUUGGGGUCUCCUUGACCAAGCUGGU
This 1320-nucleotide long non-coding RNA is filed under the name Homo sapiens (human). RNAcentral's name for it is "non-protein coding LINC00839:20". The record is from RNAcentral. Lineage: Eukaryota; Metazoa; Chordata; Mammalia; Primates; Hominidae.